GACGAACGCUGGCGGCGUGCUUAACACAUGCAAGUCGAACGGAAAGGCCCUGCUUUUGUGGGGUGCUCGAGUGGCGAACGGGUGAGUAACACGUGAGUAACCUGCCCUUUACUUUGGGAUAACUUCAGGAAACUGGGGCUAAUACCGGCUAGGAGCUCCUGCUGCAUGGUGGGGGUUGGAAAGUUUCGGCGGUUGGGGAUGGACUCGCGGCUUAUCAGCUUGUUGGUGGGGUAGUGGCUUACCAAGGCUUUGACGGGUAGCCGGCCUGAGAGGGUGACCGGCCACAUUGGGACUGAGAUACGGCCCAGACUCCUACGGGAGGCAGCAGUGGGGAAUAUUGCACAAUGGGCGGAAGCCUGAUGCAGCAACGCCGCGUGCGGGAUGACGGCCUUCGGGUUGUAAACCGCUUUCGCCUGUGACGAAGAGUGAGUGACGGUAAUGGGUAAAGAAGAACCGGCUAACUACGUG
Molecule: ribosomal RNA, 468 nt
Filed under: uncultured bacterium
Lineage: Bacteria
Description: partial 16S ribosomal RNA
Rfam family: Bacterial small subunit ribosomal RNA
Source: RNAcentral